GUUGCCUUCUGAAAGGGGUUGACGCAGAAACUACCUCCUGUUGAUCAUAGCUUCUCAUUCCUCUAGAAUGACGGACGCAGUUCCUAUGCCUAAUGUAUGCAAAUAAAACCAUCCGCAAAAUGAUACUCCCAUCUGGGAUUCUAUAGGACUGUUCCUGAGAAAAGCCUGCCUGAUGUUUUCACCACCUCUAGGCAGAGUUCAAUAAAAACGAACUUAGCCAAAUGCCUGACAGGUAGUAAGUGCUCAAGAAACAGUUGACUGGACGACUGCUCCAUUUCUUCUCUGCAUAUCUGAACACUCAAGCACCGGAAGGCACCUAAACCCAGAGCCUCUCCAGACCAUAUGACAUCAGUCAAAGACUCUGCUUGAGAAUUAUUUUUGUUCUUGGCCUCAGCUCCGGAUCACAGCAAUUUAUAUAUGCCAUCUCUGUUUCAGAGACAGUUUAUUUUCAGCUGCCAAGCCACUUUUUUCCAAGCCUUCAGUCAAAUAAUUUCUCCUGAAGAAAAAGAAAAGAGAAUGACAUAACUGUCAGGGUUUUAUUUCAAAAGAAGAGUGGUUAUAUAGAUUUUUUGUGUGUGUUCAUAUCAAAGUGUCAAUAACUGUUAAAGAGGAACAGUCAACUAGCAAGUCACUUGUCAAUGAUUCUUCCAUCUUUGACAUGGGAGAGAUUUGAAGAACAUUUAUUUAGCAAUUUUUUUAUUAAAUGUCUACUUGGCUUACUGGACUAAGUUGUGGCAAUCUGAGAAUGGACCAGAUUUCAUUCAAGAUGUUUGCCUUCAAGGAGUUUAUAGUCUAGUGGGAAAAAUAAACAAGUAAAAUCUGGGAACUUUGAGCAUAAAUCUCUGGAGCAUUCAUAGUCAUUGUAUAACAGGAAUUCUUUAACAUUUUGGAUGUUAUUUUCUCAUCUUUCCACUGAACAAAAUUGACUCAAGCCUUUAAUAAUCUCUGCUAUGUACUUGCAGUGGAAAAUGUCAACAAGUGAUCCUAACAAUUCUCCAGGAAGUGGAGGCUCAGGUGGUUAAUGAGUAGUCCCAAUAUUGAGCUCAAAAGUCGGUCUUCUACAUCCAUUUUUUCUGUCGUGUGUUUCUAUCAUGAACACGUUUCCAUUAUAGCAGAUUGAUACUUUCUUACCCAAAUUUAUUUACCUAUCUACUAGACCACGAAGUCAAAGACCACUUUUCAUUUGUAUAUCUGCCCAUCACCCUAAUAGAUUGUGACCUUUUGAGAUGAGAAACAUGGUUCCUGCCCUCAAGAGGAUCAAAUUUGGAGAAAAAGGUAGAUAAUGAUAUCAAAUAGGGUGAGAACAAACACUGAAAUCAAGUUUAUUGUUAAAAUGUGGAGGAGGAGCACCUCAUUCAACCUGCGUUCAACAAAAGUACUUCUCAAAAAUGUCAAGCUCAAGAUGAGUAUUGAAGAACCAGUAGGAAUUGGCCAAGCUAAGAAGAGACAAAGAGUGCUCCAUACACAGGCACGUAUACCUUUGUAUGUAUCUCCUUGCCUAUGAACUGUAGAGUAAAACUCAUUACAAGUAUUCUGGAUCCAUUUUUGGCUAAGUGAAGAGGAAAGUUUUACCAGCUGAUGGCCGUUUGAUGACCUACAUGGAAAGAACUGGUAGACUCAGGAGAGCACAAUUGAGAGAAGUGAUCACAUCACAAAAUGUGACAUCAUUCUUUGGCACCAGCUGGCAUCCUGGACAUGGAGAGUGAAUGGCACCCUUCCUUGGAUUCUAGUGCUGUUGCUGAGAUUAGCCAUUCUUGCAUCUCAAAAGGAAGAUGUUAAAAGAAGAGUUAGCCAACUGUGUUCCUGGUGCUGUGCCAGCAGGAAGUUCCCUUUGAAUGGUGCUGCAAACAUAAUAGCAGUGUGCUGACUCCAGCAACAAUGUAAAAAACAGAAAGAGAACAAGGAGGAGGAAGAGAAGGGGGAGGAAGAAAGAGAAGAGAGAAGAGAAAAAGAGAAAAGAAGUGGAAAAGAGGAAGAGGGAAAGAAAGCUUACCUUCAUUUACCUCUGUUCACACUCAAACUUCUUGAUAGUAACCAACCUUGAUGUUGUCACUGACUCCUCUCCUUUCCACUUGUGAAUCCAUUGCAAUCUGGCUUCUCCCUCCUUCAUUCAGAAAAUUGUCUUGUGAUGGUCUCCAAAGGCCCUGGGGCUGCAAAAUUUAACGGGCACUGGUCAAUUAUUAUUGCAACAAAUUUUUCCUAGAAUUCAUAAUAUUUACCAAACUCCAUUUGAAGUGCCUGCCUUUCUUUAUGUAGUGGUUACUUCAUCACCUUCUAUCUCUAUUUGCUCUAUUUCCUUCCCCCUCCUUGGCUUCUUUUUUCUACAUUAGGUCCUUUCACACCCUGGUUUUCCUCUAAGAUUCUGUCCUUGCUCAUGUCUGUUCUCUAUAUACUCCUCGUGGCACACUUAUCCAUUCCUGUAAUACCAGGUACCAUGUAUUUAUGACUCGACUUUUUAUCUUCACCACAGACCAUUCCCUUGAACUCCAGAUUUGUGCUUCUAGGCUCCUACCAGACACGUUUAGUAGAUAUAUCACCAACACCUUAAACUUAUCCAACAUUAAAUCCCCUUUAUGUUCUUUCCAAUUCUCCACUUGGUUUGAUUUUAGUGUCCAAGUCAGAAGCUUUAGGAUCACUUCCUCUUUGUUACUCACUUACCCAGUAGGUCAUUAAGUCUGAGUCUAUGGAUAUCUCUGGAAUCCACUCCAUGACCACAAUUUCUGUCUUUCUUCAGACUCUCAUCAUUUCUAACCUAUCCUGUUGCACUAGCCUCGGACCAGACCUCCCUGCCUACAGGCUUUCCCACCUUCCUUUCCUCCUGAAUCUGUAUUCUACACUAUUGCCUCUGGUACCUAAAGUACAAAACUAAUCAGGACACUUCUCUGAUUAACACCUUUCAAUGACUUUUUACACCUAUCAGCUCCUUUCCUUGAUAAACAUAAAAGGUCCUUGACAGUCUGGCUUCUCCCCCCCUUUAUGAUUGUGUCUCCCUACUUUCCCUAACUCACUGCCUCUGGUUCAGCCUUAACUGUCUUUUUGCAGUUUCCCAAACAUGCCAGGCUAUUUCACAUCUCCAAGGUUUCGGAGAGUCUGAUGCAUUUGCCUGAAAUGCUCUUCCCCUCUCAGGCAACUGGCAAAUUCCUGUUCAGUAUUUGAAAAUUCCAUGAACAUCACCCCCACCCCCACCCCACAUACAUGUGCAUCUUCCUAUUACUUUUUCAUCCAUAAGCAUGGAGGUAUACCUCUCUAUUAGCAUUUUUCUCACUGUGUCAUAGUUUAUAACAUGGGGGGGGGGGGUCUCCAUGAAUCCUUGAGGUCCCUGAGAAAUGUCUUUAUUUCAGUUUAAACUAUGCCUGGCGUGUAAUACAUGCUGAAUGCAUGUUGGUUGAAUGAAUAAUAAAUAAAUACAGACAGUAUUAGAACA
Molecule: long non-coding RNA, 3424 nt
Organism: Neofelis nebulosa (Clouded leopard)
Lineage: Eukaryota; Metazoa; Chordata; Mammalia; Carnivora; Felidae
Exons: 5
Source: RefSeq, a predicted model, not a curated record